RNAcentral lists this long non-coding RNA (239 nucleotides) under Homo sapiens (human). Its description in RNAcentral is "HSALNT0225174". The record is from RNAcentral. Lineage: Eukaryota; Metazoa; Chordata; Mammalia; Primates; Hominidae.
UAGAUUAUGGACAUCCACCUUAAUGUUCAACUUCCCCUACACGGGACAAAAUCACCAACAUCUUUAAUGAGAGAAAAUCCUUUAUCGACUGAUUCAUUUCCAUGUUUUGUUUCUGCAGCUAGACGGGAUAUCCUUUAAUGCCAACGGGUAUUUCAUUAACACCGCCACCUCCAGCAUCUUCAAGGAUAUCACCUCAGGCACAACGUUACUGAUGGAGAAUGUUUAGAGUAUUCUGAUAA